AGUGAACGCUGGCGGUAGGCCUAACACAUGCAAGUCGAACGGCAGCACAGUAAGAGCUUGCUCUUACGGGUGGCGAGUGGCGGACGGGUGAGGAAUACAUCGGAAUCUACUUUUUCGUGGGGGAUAACGUAGGGAAACUUACGCUAAUACCGCAUACGACCUACGGGUGAAAGCAGGGGAUCUUCGGACCUUGCGCGAUUGAAUGAGCCGAUGUCGGAUUAGCUAGUUGGCGGGGUAAAGGCCCACCAAGGCGACGAUCCGUAGCUGGUCUGAGAGGAUGAUCAGCCACACUGGAACGGAGACACGGUCCAGACUCCUAAGGGAGGCAGCAGUGGGGAAUAUUGGACAAUGGGCGCAAGCCUGAUCCAGCCAUACCGCAUGGGUGAAGAAGGCCUUCGGGUUGUAAAGCCCUUUUGUUGGGAAAGAAAAGCAGCAGGUUAAUACCCCGCUGUUCUGACGGUACCCAAAGAAUAAGCACCGGCUAACUUCGUG
Molecule: ribosomal RNA, 492 nt
Filed under: uncultured bacterium
Lineage: Bacteria
Description: partial 16S ribosomal RNA
Rfam family: Bacterial small subunit ribosomal RNA
Source: RNAcentral